This 658-nucleotide ribosomal RNA is filed under the name uncultured Aquificaceae bacterium. RNAcentral's name for it is "bacterial SSU rRNA". It matches the Rfam family "Bacterial small subunit ribosomal RNA", at positions 198 to 874 of the family's 1533-position model. Lineage: Bacteria; Pseudomonadati; Aquificota; Aquificia; Aquificales; Aquificaceae. The record is from RNAcentral.
ACUCCAAAGCCGCAAGGCGCCUAUGGAUGGGGCUGCGUCCCAUCAGCUAGUUGGUGAGGUAAUGGCUCACCAAGGCUACGACGGGUAACCGGUCUGAGAGGAUGAUCGGUCACAGUGGGACUGAGACACGGCCCGCACCCCUACGGGGGGCAGCAGUGGGGAAUAUUGGGCAAUGGCCGAAAGGCUGACCCAGCAACGCCGCGUGGUGGAUGAAGCCCUUCGGGGUGUAAACACCUUUUCUGGGGGAAGAUAAUGACGGUACCCCAGGAAUAAGGGACGGCUAACUACGUGCCAGCAGCCGCGGUAAUACGUAGGUCCCGAACGUUGCGCGAAAUUACUGGGCGUAAAGGGUCCGUAGGCGGUCUGGUAAGUGGAAGGUGAAAUCCUACGGCUCAACCGUAGAAUUGCCUUCCAAACUGCUGGACUUGAGGCAGGGAGAGGUCGGCGGAAUUCCCGGUGUAGCGGUGAAAUGCGUAGAUAUCGGAAGGAACACCAGUGGCGAAGGCGGCCGACUGGAACUGUCCUGACGCUGAGGGACGAAAGCUAGGGGAGCAAACCGGAUUAGAUACCCGGGUAGUCCUAGCCGUAAACGAUGGAUGCUAGAUGUGGCCUACGAAAGUAGGCUGUGCCGCAAGCAAACGCGUUAAGCAUCCCGCCU